This 528-nucleotide ribosomal RNA is filed under the name uncultured bacterium. RNAcentral describes it as "partial 16S ribosomal RNA". It matches the Rfam family "Bacterial small subunit ribosomal RNA", at positions 28 to 523 of the family's 1533-position model. The record is from RNAcentral.
GAUGAACGCUGGCGGCGUGCCUAAUACAUGCAAGUCGAACGCAUCCCGUUAAAUGAAGUGCUUGCACGGAUUUUAACAUUGGAUGAGUGGCGAACUGAUGAGUAACACGUGGGUAACCUGCCCAGAAGCAGGGGAUAACACUUGGAAACAGGUGCUAAUACCGUAUAACAACAAAAACCGCAUGGUUGUUGUUUGAAAGGUGGUUUCGGCUAUAACUUCUGGAUGGACCCGCGGCGUAUUAGCUAGUUGGUAGAGUAAUGGUUCACCAAGGCAAUGAGACGUAGCCGACCUGAGAGGGUAAUCGGCCACAUUGGGACUGAGACACGGCCCAAACUCCUACGGGAGGCAGCAGUAGGGAAUCUUCCACAAUGGACGAAAGUCUGAUGGAGCAACGCCGCGUGAGUGAAGAAGGUUUUCGGAUCGUAAAACUCUGUUGUUGAAGAAGAAUACGUUUGAGAGUAACUGUUCAGACGUUGACGGUAUUCAACCAGAAAGCCACGGCUAACUACGUGCCAGCCGCCGCCGUAA